This 74-nucleotide transfer RNA is filed under the name Deltaproteobacteria bacterium. RNAcentral's name for it is "tRNA-Arg". It matches the Rfam family "tRNA". From Rfam's summary of the family: Transfer RNA (tRNA) molecules are approximately 80 nucleotides in length. Their secondary structure includes four short double-helical elements and three loops (D, anti-codon, and T loops). RNAcentral also lists the same sequence under 1 other name. Lineage: Bacteria; Pseudomonadati; Myxococcota; Myxococcia. The record is from RNAcentral.
GCCCUCGUAGCUCAGCUGGAUAGAGCAGCGGAUUCCUAAUCCGCAGGUCGCACGUUCAAAUCGUGUCGGGGGUA